Molecule: ribosomal RNA, 468 nt
Filed under: uncultured bacterium
Lineage: Bacteria
Description: partial 16S ribosomal RNA
Rfam family: Bacterial small subunit ribosomal RNA
Source: RNAcentral
GACGAACGCUGGCGGCGUGCUUAACACAUACAAGUCGAACGGAAAGGCCCUGCUUUUGUGGGGUGCUCGAGUGGCGAACGGGCGAGUAACACGUGAGUAACCUGCCCUUGACUUUGGGAUAACUUCAGGAAACUGGGGCUAAUACCGGAUAGGAGCUCCUGCUGCAUGGUGGGGGUUGGAAAGUUUCGGCGGUUGGGGAUGGACUCGCGGCUUAUCAGCUUGUUGGUGGGGUAGUGGCUUACCAAGGCUUUGACGGGUAGCCGGCCUGAGAGGGUGACCGGCCACAUUGGGACUGAGAUACGGCCCAGACUCCUACGGGAGGCAGCAGUGGGGAAUAUUGCACAAUGGGCGGAAGCCUGAUGCAGCAACGCCGCGUGCGGGAUGACGGCCUUCGGGUUGUAAACCGCUUUCGCCUGUGACGAAGCGUGAGUGACGGUAAUGGGUAAAGAAGCACCGGCUAACUACGUG